This 64-nucleotide transfer RNA is filed under the name Ancrocorticia populi. It matches the Rfam family "tRNA", at positions 5 to 66 of the family's 71-position model. Rfam says of the family: Transfer RNA (tRNA) molecules are approximately 80 nucleotides in length. The record is from RNAcentral. Lineage: Bacteria; Bacillati; Actinomycetota; Actinomycetes; Actinomycetales; Actinomycetaceae.
CGAUAGCUCAGUGGAUAGAGCGUCUGCCUCCGGAGCAGAAGGUCGCAGGUUCGAAUCCUGUUCG